AAUAGAUACCCCGGUAGUCCACGCCGUAAACGAUGAGUGCUAAGUGUUAGAGGGUUUCCGCCCUUUAGUGCUGCAGCUAACGCAUUAAGCACUCCGCCUGGGGAGUACGGUCGCAAGACUGAAACUCAAAGGAAUUGACGGGGGCCCGCACAAGCGGUGGAGCAUGUGGUUUAAUUCGAAGCAACGCGAAGAACCUUACCAGGUCUUGACAUCCUCUGACAACUCUAGAGAUAGAGCGUUCCCCUUCGGGGGACAGAGUGACAGGUGGUGCAUGGUUGUCGUCAGCUCGUGUCGUGAGAUGUUGGGUUAAGUCCCGCAACGAGCGCAACCCUUGAUCUUAGUUGCCAGCAUUUAGUUGGGCACUCUAAGGUGACUGCCGGUGACAAACCGGAGGAAGGUGGGGAUGACGUCAAAUCAUCAUGCCCCUUAUGACCUGGGCUACACACGUGCUACAAUGGAUGGUACAAAGGGCUGCAAGACCGCGAGGUCAAGCCAACCCCAUAAAACCAUUCUCAGUUCGGA
This 522-nucleotide ribosomal RNA is filed under the name uncultured bacterium. Its description in RNAcentral is "bacterial SSU rRNA". It matches the Rfam family "Bacterial small subunit ribosomal RNA", at positions 777 to 1297 of the family's 1533-position model. The record is from RNAcentral.